This 253-nucleotide ribosomal RNA is filed under the name uncultured bacterium. Its description in RNAcentral is "partial 16S ribosomal RNA". It matches the Rfam family "Bacterial small subunit ribosomal RNA", at positions 524 to 776 of the family's 1533-position model. The record is from RNAcentral.
UACGUAGGGUGCAAGCGUUGUCCGGAAUUAUUGGGCGUAAAGAGCUCGUAGGCGGUUUGUCGCGUCUGCUGUGAAAACCCGAGGCUCAACCUCGGGCCUGCAGUGGGUACGGGCAGACUAGAGUGCGGUAGGGGAGAUUGGAAUUCCUGGUGUAGCGGUGGAAUGCGCAGAUAUCAGGAGGAACACCAGUGGCGAAGGCGGCACUCUGGGCCGGUACUGACGCUGAGGAGCGAAAGCGUGGGGAGCGAACAGG